GCCUGCAGCAACUAAGACCUGGCACAGCCAAAUAAAUAAAUACCAAUUUAGAAGAGAAAAAAAGCUUGAAACUCAGCCUCAAGAUGGAAAAGUGUCCUCUGGCAGGCUCAGGGAGACACCCACCACCCGCCUUGGUUCAGAAGCCUGCUGUUCUGCAUCAGUGUCAGCUCUCCACUCUUUGUCUCCAAAGGGAGUGCUUGUUUGCUCCUCUUGAAUUUAAAUCGAGGGGGGAAGUGUUGCAGACUCUUGGUUAACCACCUCAGAAAACCGAGCUGAUCCAGCCACAGCCAACCUCACGCCAUGGAAAGCAGAACAUAGUAUGUGUGUGUGUGUGUGUGUGUGUGUGUGUGUGUGUGUGGUGUGUGUGUGUGUGGUGCAUGUGUGUGUGUGUGGUGUAUGUGGUGUGUGUGGUGUAUGUGUGUGUGUGGUAUGUGUGUGGUGUGUGUGUGUGUGGUGUGUGUAUGUGUGUGUGGUAUGUGUAUAUGUGGUGUGUGUGUGAUGUGUAUGGUGUGUGUAUAUGUGGUGUGUAUAUGUGGUGUGUGUGUGAUGUGUGUGGUGUGUGUAUAUGAGGUGUGUGUGUGGUGUGUGUGUGUGUGGUGUGUGUGGUGUGUGUAUAUGUGGUAUGUGUGUGGUGUGUGUAUGAUGUGCGUGUGUGGUGUGUGUAUAUAUGGUGUGUGUGUGUGGUGUGUGUGUGGUGUGUGUAUAUGUGGUAUGUAUGUGGUGUGUGUGUGUGUGUGGUGUGUGUGUGUGUGUGGUGUGUGUAUAUGUGGUAUGUGUGUGGUGUGUGUAUGAUGUGCGUGUGUGGUGUGUGUAUAUAUGGGGUGUGUGUGUGGUGUGUGUGUGUGUGUGUGUGUGGUGUGUGUGUGGUGUGUGUAUAUGUGGUGUGUCUGUAUGUGGUGUGUGUGUGUGGUGUGUGUGUCUGUGUGUGGUGUGUGUGUGUGUGUAGGCUGCAUAAACUCAUUGCCAUCUUCCCUUGUCCCUUCCAGCUGUGAGGGUUUCCUAGGGCUGUUCCUCUCUUCUGGAGGGAGCGGCAGGGGCGGGGAACAGGAGAGGAGGCAGCGUUGGGAGACACUUUGGAGAGUGUCUGUGGCAGAAAUAGACUGUGUGCAAGCAAAUAGGGCAGAGAGAGAGAAGUUCGAGCAGGGCCCAUGUAAGUGUAGUGCCGGGAACAUUCCUGCGGUUCUCAGGACUGGGGAAAACGACUUGCAGAUCUGGACAAGCCCAGGCAGGGAGGGGUGCAGUGGGAUGGAUGAGGGCCAGAGCUAAAAAUAAGACGGUAUUUCUAGCCGAGCAGAAGAGUUAGCAUCUGUGGGACCGUGUGAGCAGAGGAGAGUGUUGGCGCCACCAAGCACAGUGAGGCCAGAAAAGUGGGGAGGGGUCGCCGGGUGUCAGUCUCAGCCUUGAGAGAGGAUGACGCUGCCCCCAAAAAGGAGACUGCUCUCUUCUUCCCAGCCCAGAGAAGCCCAGAGUCUGGGCAGGGGAGGACCGAGCCUGUCCCGCAGCCGGACAAAGGCUCAGGGCAGUUGCUGCAAGCCCAACCCCCAGGCUGGCCUGACCGUCCCCUCCCCCAGAGUAGCAGAGCCGGGAGGGCCGCCUCCAAACCUCCUCCCCAACGAGCCAUUAAGGAGCCCAAGAGUGGCCUGCAGUCCGCAGUCCCGGAAGGGAGACAGUAUUUAGUGGUUGUGCACUGUGCAGAGAUGUUUCCCAUAGGGUCCCACAGUGAUCCCGGAAUACUUGGGAAUCCACCUGCCAAUGUAGAGGACAUGGGUCUGAUCCCUCGCCCAGGAAGAUCCCACAUGCUGCAGAGCAACUUAGCCCAAGUGCUGUAAGUACUGAGCCUGUGCUCUCGAGCUUACAAGCUACACCUACUGAAGCCGACACACCCCAGAGCCCGUGCUCCCCAACAAGAGGAGCCGCCGCAGUGAGAAGCCUGUGCACCUCAACUAGAGUGACCCCCGCUCGCCGCAACAAGAGAAAGGCCAAGGGCAGCAACAAAGGCCCAGGGCAGCCACAAAUACAUAAAUCAAUAAAUUUUUAAGAGGAUGUGAACAUUAGGGGGAAGUUGGACUAUCUUUGCAACUUUUCUGUAUAAACCUAAAAUUAUUCCAAAAUAGAAGAGUUAUUAAGAGAGACCUGGAAAAGGAAAUGGCUACCCACUCCACGACUCUUGCCUAGGAAAUCACAUGGACAGAGGAGCCUGGCGGGCUACGGAAUAUGGAGUCACAGAGAGCCAGACACAACUAGGCAGCUAACACUUUUGCCUUCACUUUUUCCUUCAAUUCUAACUCAUCAACAUCAAGACGCUGUUAUCUGUCCAGGUCAGGUGACAGCUUCCUGACUGAGGACAUAGCUGUUGAUGGCUGAUGUGUGUUGUACAAGAUCACUUGUGCAAAUAUGUAUUUUGUCUGAAAUUUUGUUUAAAAAAUUUAUUUACAAUGCUACUUGAAUGAUUUCUUAUAAAUGCUG
Molecule: long non-coding RNA, 2466 nt
Organism: Bos taurus (domestic cattle)
Lineage: Eukaryota; Metazoa; Chordata; Mammalia; Artiodactyla; Bovidae
Source: Ensembl